Molecule: regulatory RNA element, 76 nt
Organism: Oribacterium sp.
Lineage: Bacteria; Bacillati; Bacillota; Clostridia; Lachnospirales; Lachnospiraceae
Rfam family: c-di-GMP-I riboswitch aptamer
About the family: GEMM was predicted in a large-scale screen for bacterial structured RNA regulatory elements.
Source: Rfam
GAUCUGUUUGAGCAAAACCGGGGAAACCCGGUGACGCAAAGCUAUAGGGCCUGUAACAUGGCAGCCAGUUGCGAUC